CGACCUCCGAAGCUUAGCAAAUUAAACUGGCUUGUUCAUUUACAAAGAGCAGAGUACUACUAUUUUCAAACCUUUUACCUAUGAACAAAAGAGAGAUCUACCCAUGAAGCCUAAAAUUUCACCGUUUUGUUGAUUUACACUUAGCCGAUACGCCGCUUCCAUUGAGAUACGGCUCGAAGGUU
Long non-coding RNA from Rhodamnia argentea, 182 nucleotides. RefSeq lists it as uncharacterized. The record is from RefSeq and is a predicted model, not a curated record. The transcript is spliced from 3 exons. Lineage: Eukaryota; Viridiplantae; Streptophyta; Magnoliopsida; Myrtales; Myrtaceae.